AUCUAACUGACGAGUCCCAAAUAGGACGAAACGCGCGUCCUGAAU
Non-coding RNA from Schistosoma curassoni, 45 nucleotides. NCBI's taxonomy places the organism in Eukaryota, Metazoa, Platyhelminthes, Trematoda, Strigeidida, Schistosomatidae. The record is from Rfam.